UGCAAUCCAAAUAAUGCUUUCAAUGUCUUGUACGAAACCUAUGGAACGUUGUUUUAAAUAAAUUGCCGUUCCUUCAAAAACUGUCUCGCAAACCAUAACAUACAUACAAGUUUAUCAAACAUUGUAAGAAAAAGGUGCAGACUUGGUCAAGCAGGACGUCAUGUUUCCUUUAACCUAUAGGUUUAACACUAAACAUGUGGUUAUAUGGAAAUGUCAGACACAUCGAGAGCAGCUUCUGUAUUAAUGUGUGAAUUGUAAGCUGAGAGGCAUACUGCCAUGGGGUGAAACAUACUGCCACAGGGUGAGACAUACUGCCAUUGGAUGAGACAUACUGCCACGGGGUGGGACAUACCGCCACGGGGUGAGAUACACUGCCACGGGGUGAGACAUACUGCCACGGGGAGAGACAUACUGCCAUGGGGUGAGACAUACUGCCAUUGGGUUAGACAUACUGCCAUUGGGUUAGACAUACUCCCAUGGGGUGAGACAUACUCCCAUGGGGUGAGACAUACUGCCAUUGGGUGGGACAUACUGCCAUGGGGUGAGACAUUGCCAUUGGGUGGGACAUACUGCCAUUGGGUGGGACAUACUGCCAUUAGUUGAGACAUACUGCCACAGGGUGAGACAUACUGCCAUGGGGUGAGACAUACUGCCAUUGGGUUAGACAUACUCCCAUGGGGUGAGACAUACUGCCAUUGGGUGGGACAUACUGCCAUGGGGAGAGACAUACUGCCAUGGGGUGAGACAUACUGCCAUUGGGUUAGACAUACUCCCAUGGGGUGAGACAUACUGCGAUAGGGUGAGACAUACUGUCAUUGGGUGGGACAUACUGCCAUUGGGAGAGACAUACUGCCAUGGGGUGAGACAUACUGCCAUUGGGUUAGACAUACUCCCAUGGGGUGAGACAUACUGCCAUGGGGUGAGACAUACUGCCAUGGGGUGAGACAUACUGCCAUGAGGUUAGACAUACUCCCAUGGGGAGAAACAUACUGCCAUUGGGUGGGACAUACUGCCAUGGGGAGAGACAUACUGCCAUGGGGUGAGACAUACUGCCAUUGGGUUAGACAUACUCCCAUGGGGUGAGACAUACUGCCAUUGGGUUAGACAUGCUCCCAUGGGGUGAGACAUACUGCCAUUGGGUGGGACAUACUGCCAUGGGGUGAGACAUACUGCCAUUGGGUGAGACAUACUGCCAUUGGGUGGGACAUACUGCCAUUGGGUGAGUCUUACUGCCAUUGGGUGAGUCUUACUGCCACAGGGUGAGACAUACUGCCAUGGGGUGAGACAUACUGCCAUUGAGUUAGACAUACCACCAUGGGGAGAGACAAAUGGUGGACACUUGGCAUGAAAGUAAGUUGCACAGUUCAAGGAAAACAAUAUUUAAUGAGGAAAGCACGAUGUCACACUUAGAAACUAUGACGAGGAUCAAUCAAUAACCUGAAUAAUCGCAAAUCUAUCGUAUCCGUCUAUAAACUGUCAAAAGACAAAUUAAAUUUGUAUCCUGGCUGCGUUCUUACAUUUAUAAUGUCAUUCUUGAAAGCCGAUGGAAAAUUGCCAAUAAGAACAAUUAGAUUAACUGAAAAGGAGUAUCUUUAUAAUCA
This 1601-nucleotide long non-coding RNA is filed under the name Pelobates cultripes (western spadefoot toad). The record is from RNAcentral. Lineage: Eukaryota; Metazoa; Chordata; Amphibia; Anura; Pelobatidae.